UAUAUAUUGAAACGCAGUUUAUAAUAAACUCAGAGUGGCCAUCAGCCCUCUCCGCAUCUAUCCUGGUGUGUACACUGGAUCGCGACAUCGACACAUGUGCAAGAUUUGCCUUUCAGAUCAUGCUCAAACUGAGCUGAAAAGGUCUCUGUGGCUUAGUAGAUGGAAUACAAGAAAAGGAAUGUUCCUGUACCAAUGCUUGCAAACAGGAAGGAGAACUAGGAGGGGACCAUCAGUUCUGAGAAAAUCUGGGGAGCUAGAAAUGGAUGAUACUGGAUAGACUGUCAGUGUGAAAGGGAGCAGCCUCAACCCAGCGUUCCACAGAUUAAGAAUGCUUCUUUUCGGUCAGCUGCUCUGAACGUUUCAAGUCCUGAAAUCAACAAAAAGUCGUAGUGGGCUGUAGGAUAGCUUUCACGGCCAUUAACAAAUGACUUCACUGUAAUGAUCAUACCCACUCUAAUAUAUGGACCAAAGUGACAGGUGACCCACAUUUCCUUCAGGCUAAACUCUGUGAACUGCAUUUGAGAGACAUGUUUCCUGACCCCAAAGAGAAACAGUAAUUUGAGGUACUUCCAGACAGGAAUAGCAAACAGGAGGGGAAAAUGGAAAUAAGUAGAAAUGCUAAUUAGGUUUCCAAGCGCAAAGUAUAUUCAAGUCUUUCUCUUUUAAAAGAAUGUUCUAUUUCAGCAACUUGAAUUAAGAUCUCUAUUCUGACUUGCCUGUUCCUAAAACAAAAGCAAACAGCCUACAGGCCUCACUCAUUCCACAGAGCCCUCUAACAAAAUUUCCACUACACAGAGAAAAUGACGUGAAAACAGCCCAGUGUCAACUCCACAGGACACUUGAAAUUGAGAGCUAUUCCAAUCCUGAAGUCUGUAAGUUUUUUGUAAAGGACAAAAUAGUAAAUAUUUGAAGCUUCGAAGUGUAUAAGGUCUCUGUUGCAACAAUUCAAUUACUGUCAUAUUAGGAAAGCUGCUAUGCAUAUAUCAUAGAUAAUACAUGAAUGAAAUGGUAAGGCUGUGUUAAAAAGAAAAAAAAUCUGUAUUUAUGAAAACAUGUAGCAGGCUGGAUUUGGGCCACAGGCCAUAGUUUACUGACCCCUGUAUUUAUUCGCAAGCAAUGAAUGGAAAUCCAAGGAUUAACAUAUAUUUGAAGAAAAUAGUGUGAAAGAAAAAGACUAAGACGCAACACAACAAUGCAAUUUAUUCAAAGGAAACAAAUAUGUCACGGAAAAGAAGUAAAGUUGUUGGAAAAUCAAAGCAGUACCCUCAGAAAAAUUGCCUACUAAAUAAAAAAAAAUCACAACUAAAGAAUAAGAAAGUGAUGCUGUAAAAUAAGUAUAAAAUGGCAACUUAAAAAAAAGCAAUAGGUAGACUAAAUAUUAAAAUGUAAAUGACUUAAAUUCAACAUAAACAGAAAGAAAAAAAAUACAUGUAAUAAAGGACAGAAAGUUUAAGGGGCAUGAAAAACAGGUACAAGAAGAAUAACAUUUAUCUAAUUCCAGAAAUACAGAAUAGAGAAAUGAGAAAAGAAAAUAAUAAAUGAAACAAAGAAAACUUCCCAGUAUUAACUAAUAGCAGGUCUUUAUAACAGCAUAAUUUAUAAAAUGCCAAACAAGAAAAUUCAUACAUACGCACAUUGUGAUGACGACAAAGAACUCCAAAUAUAAAAAUGAAAGUCCUUGAAGCUUCCAGAGAAAGAGAGAAUAAGAAAAAAUGUGAAGAGAGUAACAUUUUUUUCCUCCAGAAAGAAUAAGAAAUAGAAAGAGAACAAAAAACCUGUCACAAGCAACAAUAUAUACCAGACAACACUGGAGAAGUGCCUUCACUCUUCUUUUUUUUUUAAAGAUUUUAUUUUUUUCCUUUUUCUCCCCAAAGCACCCCGGUACAUAGCUGUAUAUUCUUCCUUGUGGGUCCUUCUAGUUGUGGCAUGUGGGAUGCUGCCUCAGCGUGGUUUGAUGAGCAGUGCCAUGUCCGCGCCCAGGAUUCAAACCAGCGAAACACUGGGCCGCCUGUAGAGGAGCGCACGAACUUAACCACUCGGCCACGGGGCCAGCCCCUGCCUUUGCUAUUCUUGGGGAAACAAUUUUGAGAACUCUCUGCCUGGCACUGUGCAGGACCUCGGGGCUGCGCAACAGGGAAGAAGACAGAUAUGGACAGUCUGUAUUCUCCUGGAGCCUAUAUGACAUUGGAGGAGACAAUGAUCAAGACAAUAAGCAAGAAAAUACAACAUUUGCAAGCUAGUAAUCCAUGUUUACAAUAAAACAAAUAGAGUCCUAGGAUACAAAUAAUUAGAGGGCUGUCUAGGGAGGUUCUAUUUUAGAUUAAGUGUCCAGAAAACUCCUCCCUGAGGAUGCUGAAUGGGAAGAUAAGAAGAAGGCAGCCUUCUGACGAGCUGAUUGAAGUGCAAAACUGAGUCAGGAAGCCUGGGACUGUUCAAUAAAUGGCAAAAAGCCAAUGUGUUUGGAGCACAGUUAGACAGGGAGAAUGGGUCCUAAGUAAGGUUUAAAAGUGGACAAGGUUACAAGGCAUAGAUUGUUGGUUUUGUUUUAAGGUUAAAGUGAAGGCAUCGAAUGACUACAUAAACACUGAAAUCAAAGAAGUAUCAUGAUUAGAUUUUCUUUUACAAAUCUUCACCCUGGUUAGAGAAUGUGUGGAGAAUGGACUAGAGGGCAUAGAAGUGGCAGUAGAGAAGCAGUCAGGAGCCUCCUGUGGUAUCUUGGUGAAAGAUAAUAGGAACUCAGCCCAGGGUGAAUAGCAGUGUGAUAGAUAAUAGUGUACACAUUUAAGAUAUAUUUUAGAGAAAAAUUCUCAGGUCCAGCUGAUAGAUUAAAUAUGAGGGGUUGGGAAAAGGGUAGAUUCAGGGAUGAUUACUAUCUUUCUGGCUGAGGCCACUAGAGAGAAAAAGUUGAUAUUAACUGAUGGAGAACUCUGGCAGAAGAACAUGCUUCCUCAGAAGUGUGUUCAAAAGUUCCAGUGUCACAAGGUUAAUAGUUGAGAUGCCUAAACAAUAUCCAAGUGCAGAUGUUCAGUAGGAAAUGAAAAAUUUUAAUAUGGAGAUCAGAUGAAUGGUCUGAAUUGGCAUCAUACAGUUGGGUUUCUUAGCAUGUGAAUGACAUUUUAAAGCACUGGAAUGAAUGAGGUACGGCUAAGAGAGAAUGUAGAUAAGAAAGGGAAGGGGACUCAGAUGCUACCACGUGGAGUUUAGUUUGGGGAAGAGGAGUCAACAAAGGAAACUAAGACAGGGGAAUCAGAGAAGGGAAGGACAGGAAUCAUGUCAGGUUGUGCUACAAUAACGACUGGUCUCAGAAUAUUAGUGCCUGAUAAAUCGAAGCAUUAUUUCUCACAUGACCUUUUCAAGUUGGCUCAAGGAUUACUCUAAAAGCAACCCUGACAGAACAGGCACCAUUUUAAAUAUCGCCUAUCUUUAUGGCAGAAGGAAAGAGAGUGUGAAGGGCUUUCAAGGGGAAAUUACAUGUUUGGGUCCAACAAUGAUAGAUGUCACUUCAACUCAAAUCUCACCAGCCAGACCUGGUUGCUUGGCCCCAAAUAGUCCAUAGAAGUCAGGAAGAACUAGCUUACCAUGUGCUGAAAUAUUUAGUGAACUGUAUCAAUAUUUAUAAGAGUCUGCUUUUCUGAUGACUCAUUCUUUCUAAAAUAAACCAUCAAUCCAAAGCCACAACCAAUCACAGCAUCAAGCUCAAAGUGCAGAUUUCUGGGUGUUGGAUGUCAGUUGUUAGGCUGCAUUAGCUGCAGAUGUAGAUCCUCCUCAUGUAGAGCUUGGUGGACCAAACACUCCCACUGGGCAGUGGUGGAAUACAGAGUAGAUAAUCUCACUAAAAAUGACAAUCUAUGGUUGGAAUGAAAGCCAUAGCAAUUCCUCUGCAGAUUUUGUGAUGGCUUUCCUUCCACUGGGAAGGAAAUCUUCCUGCCUGGGGUCUCUUCCUGCUCCCUGGGAGGGACUUCCCACUCCAAAGUUCCUCAAGGGCCUUGCCUUCCCAUUAUGGAAGGCUCUUCCUUCAUCAUCCUCUUUGGAUGCACCUGAAUGUAGCAUUGGGUAAUAUAUUCCCCUUGCAGGAAGAACAGACUCUUCCGUCUGCUUCUAACUCAUAGUAAUACGUGGGUCCAAGCAUUGUUUUAAGUCUUGAACAGUCACACACUUUUAAGUCUAGACUCGUAGUCUUUUUGACAGUACAACUGUCUCACAGACUUAACUUGUUUCUUAUCUAUUUUAUUUCAUUGAAAUCUAUGAACCAAUUUAUGUAAGACAUGCCCCACUUUUUCCAAUGGACCCAGGUAUUUUGAAUCUAUCAGGCUCCUUGGGGAGGGUCAAACCUUUAGUCUCUUUUUCUUGAGUAAUUUUGUUCAAAAAUGAUUUACAAGGACCAAUUUAGCCCUCAUUACACUAGGAAAAGCAGGCAUACCACUUGCCAUUGGGUUUAGUGGACAUUUUUAUAUUUUUACAUUUUUAAAAUAUCUUAAAAUUAUUUUACAAAUAAUUUACAGAAUUAAGAGUAAAGGGAUAGUGAAAAUAACUUUAUUAAAAAUUUUAAUAAGAAUUUAAACAUAGUAAACUCAUAUUUUUAUUCCAUAUUUACUGGUGGUGAACAUAUGUAUAACUGAAAUAGGCAAUCCCUUUGAAUGCAACUCACUGCUCCUCCAUUCGCAUAAAUGAACCUGUAGCUCAUCAAUCUUAUAAAUACUGAUUCCUGAUUUCAGGUAUUCAAAUAGAUCCUAGCUUACCAUUAAUUUUGGUUCUUCUUCAUGCUCUUAAUUAAUCAAAAUGCAAUGCUUUUGAUACUUUGAAAGUUCAUAAUUUUGUUCUAGAGAGAUUGUACAUCUUUUUUGGUUUAUAAUUGAAAAAUAUUUUCACUUUUAGGUUUAUAAAUGCCAUGUGAAAAGAUCAAUGCCUGUACUUUUAAAUUUAUAAAUAGUCAAUUUUUUUUUCCAAUCAACUUUUUAUACACAUCUGCUGUUUCAGUAAAGGUUUGACCAAAGAAAGAGAACCAGUGGGAGAUUCUGUAUAUGAGAGAGAGAGAUUUAUUGCAAGGAAUUGGCUUAUGCAAUUGUAGAAGCUGGCUUAGCAAGGCCAAAAUUUGUAAAGCCAGCCAUCAGGAAGGGCAGGCUGCAAAUGCAACUCCAGCUGGAGCUGAUGCUGUGGGAAUUUCUUCCUCUAGAAACCUCAGUUUUGCUCUUAAGGCCGCUCAACUAAUUGGAAGAGGCCAACCCAGAUUUCUGAGGAUAGUCUCUUUUACUUUGAGUCAACUAAUUGUGAAUGUAAAUCACACCUACAAAAUACCUUGCAGUAGUACCUAGAUUAGUGUUUGAUUGAAUAACUGCCUAGGCAAAUCAACACAUAAAAUGAACCAUCAUACUUGUUUUCAGCAUUUGUUCACUUAUGAAUCUUAAGUAAAUUUUGAUUCAUGAGCACCAUAAACAUCAAAGAAUACACUCACAGAUGAUAGUACAGAUUUGUGUCAGAAAGCAUCAUGUGAUAAAAUUAUUCCUGUUGAAUAACUAACUGGAUGAAGAUGUCAUAUAUCUCUUUCAUUUUUAUAAAUAUAUCAUUCACUCAUUGCUUCUUGAGUUUGAGAAAAUCCAUCUGGGAUAUUUUCAUCUGUUGACAUAUAGUAUGAGAUUUUACUUAUAUGAUUGAUCUUAUCAUCAUUAUUAAUAUCUGAAUUGCUGCUAUCUGUCUCUGUUCAGUCACAUUUUGAUUCAUAUUGUAACUGGGAAUAUCAUUCUCUGCCAUUUUGGUAUAAAGUUUUCUAAAAAUAGGAAUUUUCAGAUGUGUCCAAUGAAUGCUGUUAAAACAAGCCUACAAAGAUCAUGUUUCUAGACUUAUUUUAUAACUUCUUAAAAGAUGAUGAUGCAUUUUGUACAACCCAAUUAAAACACUGAAGGAUGAGGUAGUAUUGAUAAUUUAUUUUACCAUUGCAUCAUUCUAGGUGAUUCAGUUUUAUUUUUAAUUUUUUUGAAUAGUUGGUAAUAAUUCAUGAAUAAUGAUAAAAUAAUUUCUAGGAUGACGCAAAGCAAAAUAUCACUAAGAUCCUAUAAUUUACCUUAGAUUUAUAAAAGUGUCCAACGGACCCAUACUGAGGAUAAUUUCCUCUACUUAAAGUCAACUAAUUAUAGAUGUCAAUUACAUCUACAAAAUACUUUCAUGGUUCUUUUCUUUGAAACAUGAAAUGUUACAUUUUAUGUUAAAUAUAAAGAGAUUUUUUUGUCUUUUAGAAGAUCAUUAAAAAAGAAUAAAAGUCAUGAAAUAGCAAUUGUUACAAAGAGUUAAACCACUCAAAGAAGAAACUCAAAAUCUAAAUUUAAGUUCAAAGUAAGGUGUAGCAAGGGUUAAUCCAUUCAGGGAUUAUAACAAUUGGUGUAAUAUUCAAAUAUUCAAGAUCAAGGUUUGACCUGACCUUGACAUAGAACUGAGGGUUUUUUUUUUAAAUAUUUUUUUAG
Equus caballus (horse) is the source of this 6455-nucleotide long non-coding RNA. The record is from Ensembl. NCBI's taxonomy places the organism in Eukaryota, Metazoa, Chordata, Mammalia, Perissodactyla, Equidae.